GACGAACGCUGGCGGCGUGCUUAACACAUGCAAGUCAAACGGUAAGGCCCUUCGGGGUACACGAGUGGCGAACGGGUGAGUAACACGUGGGUGAUCUGCCCUGCACUUCGGGAUAAGCCUGGGAAACUGGGUCUAAUACCGGAUAGGACCCUGGGAUGCAUGUCCUGGGGUGGAAAGCUUUUGCGGUGUGGGAUGGGCCCGCGGCCUAUCAGCUUGUUGGUGGGGUGAUGGCCUACCAAGGCGACGACGGGUAGCCGGCCUGAGAGGGUGACCGGCCACACUGGGACUGGGAUACGGCCGAGACUCCUACGGGAGGCAGCAGUGGGGAAUAUUGCACAAUGGGCGCAAGCCUGAUGCAGCGACGCCGCGUGAGGGAUGACGGCCUUCGGGUUGUAAACCUCUUUCAGCACCGACGAAGCGCAAGUGACGGUAGGUGCAGAAGAAGGACCGGCCAACUACGUGCCAGCAGCCGCAGUAA
Molecule: ribosomal RNA, 478 nt
Filed under: uncultured bacterium
Lineage: Bacteria
Description: partial 16S ribosomal RNA
Rfam family: Bacterial small subunit ribosomal RNA
Source: RNAcentral